AGAGUUUGAUCAUGGCUCAGAUUGAACGCUGGCGGCAGGCCUAACACAUGCAAGUCGAGCGGUAACACAGAGGAGCUUGCUCCUUGGGUGACGAGCGGCGGACGGGUGAGUAAUGCCUGGGGAUCUGCCCGAUAGAGGGGGAUAACUACGGGAAACUGUAGCUAAUACCGCAUAAUGUCUACGGACCAAAGUGGGGGCUCUUCGGACCUCAUGCUAUCGGAUGAACCCAGGUGGGAUUAGCUAGUUGGUGAGGUAAUGGCUCACCAAGGCGACGAUCUCUAACUGGUUUGAGAGAAUGACCAGUCACACUGGAACUGAGACACGGUCCAGACUCCUACGGGAGGCAGCAGUGGGGAAUAUUGCACAAUGGGCGCAAGCCUGAUGCAGCCAUGCCGCGUGUGUGAAGAAGGCCUUCGGGUUGUAAAGCACUUUCAGCGGGGAGGAAGGGUCACUAGUUAAUACCUAGUGGCAUUGACGUUACUCGCAGAAGAAGCACCGGCUAACUCCGUGCCAGCAGCCGCGGUAAUACGGAGGGUGCAAGCGUUAAUCGGAAUUACUGGGCGUAAAGCGCACGCAGGCGGUUUGUUAAGUCAGAUGUGAAAUCCCCGAGCUCAACUUGGGAACUGCAUUUGAAACUGGCAAGCUAGAGUCUUGUAGAGGGGGGUAGAAUUCCAGGUGUAGCGGUGAAAUGCAUAGAGAUCUGGAGGAAUACCGGUGGCGAAGGCGGCCCCCUGGACAAAGACUGACGCUCAGGUGCGAAAGCGUGGGGAGCAAACAGGAUUAGAUACCCCGGUAGUCCAA
This 801-nucleotide ribosomal RNA is filed under the name uncultured bacterium. RNAcentral's name for it is "bacterial SSU rRNA". It matches the Rfam family "Bacterial small subunit ribosomal RNA", at positions 8 to 798 of the family's 1533-position model. The record is from RNAcentral.